GAUUAAACGAUUAGAUUAAA
Molecule: transfer RNA, 20 nt
Filed under: Themira putris
Lineage: Eukaryota; Metazoa; Arthropoda; Insecta; Diptera; Sepsidae
Description: partial transfer RNA-Tyr
Source: RNAcentral